CAUAAGCAGAUGGCCUCCCGCCCCUCCCCCAGGCGGAUUUCUUAAUGGGGUGAAAAUGCCAGUCCCCGAAGCCAGGGUCCCCGGACCCCCGGGCCGAGCUGGGCGCGGGAGCCCCGCAGGGACGGAGAGGCCGCCGAGCUUGAAGAAGUGGAGGAGAGAUCUACACAACUUAAGUGAGGCGUCCCCAUCCCGUCUUCCUGCUCGCCCUACUUUGUCCCCAGCUCCAUCUCUGCGACACCCUGCCCCCCUCCCCCAAAGAAGUCAGUCCCAGGCUCUGUCUGCAGAGAGCCAGGGUGAGAGCGGGCAAGGCAAGAGAGCGACCUCGGUCGUGGGCAAGUAGCUUGUUUUUACGUCCUUCAAUAAAAUUUUUAUGAGGAUCAUUUGAUUGUUCAUAAAUGUGUCUUUCAUUAAAUAAAAUUGUAGGCUGUUUUGGAACGGGAAAAAAGCAACGGAGGGAUGGGAGAGAGCGGUUUCUUUGGGGUCUGAUGCAGAAAUUCUGGAGGGGGCAGUGUGAUUGUAGGAAAGAUCAGACAACUUCGAUUCUUCCCCCCAGUAAGUUGGCUGCUACCCUCCUCCUUGAAUUUGGGGUUCGUUGCCCAGCCCUCUGCUUUCCAUCAGACUGUCCCAUGAUGGUUUCGUAAAGGUGGGCUUUAGGCAAGCAGGAAUUCUCAGAAUGGGUGCAAGAGAGGGGCAGGGAGGUUGGCUGGGGGGCAGAAGGGCAGGUGGGGUCCCCAGAGACAGAUGCAUCCUAGGCAUGGCACAGUGAGUUUGGAGGAGGGGUGCAAUUUCAGAGUCAGAAGGGAAGAGCCCCAGUUUGCGCUAAGGGAAAUAGGCAGGAGCUGAGGCUGAGCUGCAGGCUCUGAGGCAGCAGGGAAGGACAAGGAUUCCCAGACCCAAGAUGCCUGCCCUUCUUUCCCACUCCUGUCCCCAGGAGGGCACCAAAUGCCAGGGGUGGGGGCGGAGGCUAGUUUUCUCCUGCAUCUCUGUUGACUUGUCUCCUCUGGGGUGGAGAAGGCCAGAAAGAGGUGUCCCAGAGAGUGUAGUGUGUGUGUUGGGGGGGAGGGAAGUUGAGGGGGGAAGGGUAGAUCUGCAGCCUGCAGCACUGACCCCAGCUUGCCAGGCCCCCUCCCCAGUCCCUGCUCCUCCCCCUCUCUGGUUCUUUCCUUUUCGGUCAAGCGGGGCUGGGAUUUCGACGCACGGGGGGGGAUGUGAGAAGUGCCUGGCUGGGGAGAGGCGACCCCAGGGCCUCAGCCUCCUCACCCUCGGCUCCGGUUGUCUUCCCCUCCCCCGGACUGGACUGGCCUGGGAAAUCUAAAUUACAGCAAGAAACACAAUAUCUCUUUGGCCUUGAAGGAGUCGGGUUAGCUGUCAAUCAAAAAUUCUCCCUCACUAGUUCAAGGAAAAGACAGGAGGUUCCUCUCCCCCUGCCGAGGUUUUCUCCAAAUCCCCAGCACGGGCAGCACCUCCUCCAGCCAGGGUGGCUGGGGGACACUGCCCAGCUCUUGGGAGGCUGCUGGCAGCGAUAAGCAGAGACAUGUAGCCUUCAGCAGGCCCGGGGCCAGACUGCGACCAAGAGGACAUCAGGGGACAGAGCCUGUGAGAGACUGAGCCUGAGACAGCCUGAGAAAGAACAUCUGAAACACGGCGCCAGGCCCAUGGAGAGGAAGGAAGGAAGGGAGGAGGGAAGGAAAGAAGAAAACGGAGAAUUUGGAUAAAAAGGAGAGAGGGGAGAAUUAAAGAAAAGAGGGGAGGCAAGAUGAAAGGAGACAGGAGAGUAGGGAAAGGAAGACGUGCAGAAAGCGAGCCGGAGGAAGGGCGGCGACAGGCAGGCAGGACGGGGCAGGGCGCGGGCUGGCGGAGCAGCCGUGGCAUUGUGCAGUCCGCUAGCUUGCCGGGCCUUUGCCGCGGGACCAGCUCCGGGGCGCAGCGGCCACUUCUGUCCGGACACAAAGGAGGAAGAGGCCUCCUCUCCUGCCCCUCCCAGGCGACCUGCUGGGGUGGGUACACUAGGCCUCUGGGAUGGAGAACCCCAUCUCGGCCCAGGCAUCCACCCAGGAGCGAAGAAGACAGGGCGAAGGAGCUUUCACGCCGGCUCCUCCUUUGCAUCUUUGCCAGGCGACAGGCCCAUCCGCCCCAACCUCGGUUUUCCUAGAAGAAAGAUGCCCCUAAAGAUCCUCUCUUAUGGGCCUCUUUUAUUUGGGAGAGCCCCUCAGACACAGUGGCUGUAAACAGAUGCCCCUUUCUCUCUUACCCCACUUUGGCCACUGCCUUCUUUUCAACUCUGGAGCUGCCUGCCCACCCUGCCUGCCCACCCAGCAGAGGCAGCAGCAGCAGGGCAGCGGGAUCACCCAGGAUCACUCAGCCCACGCUCCCUGCUGCCAUCAAAUUCCCCGAGAAACUGAGGGGAGAUUGUCACCUUCGUUUUAGACCGUGAACUCAGACCUUCCCCACUCAGGCACAGACACAGCUGUGGAUCAGGAAGCAGGCCUCGCCCACAGCCCCCUCGCCACCAAUGCCCCAUUUUGCCUAGGCCUUGCUGAGAGAGGCAGGCUUGAGGAGGGGGCUGGAAGAGGCUGGGAGUCCCUGAGUUCACCAGGCCAGGCCGAGGGCCCUCAGGUUCCACAACUGCACAACUGCACGUGGGUUGUACCCCAAUUCUCUGCCUUUGGAGGUGGGGUGGUAGCUCAGGGCUCUGAAGCAGACCUUCAGGCUCCCCCUAAUCCAGGCCUGUAGGUGUGGAGGCACAAAGAGUGUAGGGGCACCAAGAAGGAGGGGCUUGUCUUCCCAGGUUCAGUGACUCCAGCUGAAUCUCCUGCCAGACUCCCAGACUCCCUCUCACCCCCACCUCUCCCUUCAAUUUUCCUCAGCACUGCUGGGGCAAAACCAAGGGACUGGAGGCCACUGGGAGUCUCUGUUGGGGAGGGGGUUGGGGAACCCCAGGUUUAGCUGGCAGCUCUGCAUCCACUCUGGUUCUUAGAGUGCCUCCUCGACCCCAAAAGGUUUCACAGGGCACAGGAGAGCCCCCUAAGGGGGAGGGGCACCCUACUCCAUCACCUCAGACCUGGACAGCUGCCACCACAACCAAGCUAGCACCACCGUGGGAAGGACAAACAGACAGAAAGACAGGUUAGAGUCAUCCCCUCCCCCUGCCCUGCACCUCCCUUUUAGUGAUUUAAAUUCCCUCCGGUUCAAUCCACACCGUCAAGUUCGGAUUAAAUUUAAAACAGGCUUUUCCCCGUCCCCCAGCCGGCCAUCCCGGCCUCUGCAGGCAGGGAGCCCGCUCCCGGCUCGUCAGCACCCGCCCGUCUGCCUGCGCGCGGAGGAGGCCCUGCUCCAUUUGCUUUCAUUUUCCUUCUCCCCCUGAAAUGGGCUCAUUUCACCUCUCCGCUGCCCUCUCCCCCUCCCCGCCCCCUCCCUGGUUCCCCUCUACUUUCCCCCCUUCUCUCUCCUGAUCCCUCUUUGUUGGGAAAAACACACCCACACACAACUCCUCCUAGCUAAGGCCUGCGCUGGAAGCAGAGACUGAAUUCUUCUGGCCUGCCGCGAGGAGACCCGCGUCCUGCCCCCACCCCAGGGCGUUGGGCAGAGACCCGGAAGACUCCGUCCCUCGGUCCCUCUGGCUUGGUCCAAUCCCGCCUCGGGAAGCGCCUUCGUUACCUGCUCCUCGGCUCCCCACGGCCACAGAUGCAGGGCAGCCGCCUCCCGCCG
This is a long non-coding RNA of Equus quagga, 3708 nucleotides long. RefSeq lists it as uncharacterized. Lineage: Eukaryota; Metazoa; Chordata; Mammalia; Perissodactyla; Equidae. The record is from RefSeq and is a predicted model, not a curated record. The transcript is spliced from 3 exons.